UCAAAUUAAUAUUUUUAAAGAAGAGAAGAUUGAUCCUUGGCUAUGGGCUUCCGUCAUACAAUUGUCUGGCCCCAUUUCUUUGGUUUUCAGCAGAAUGGAUCUACUUGUCUCAUGGUUUAGAAGUGAAAGAUAUUGGGCAAGGGAUGUAGCUCAGUGGCAGAGCCCGUUCAAAGAAUGUGAAAGUUUAUGGGUUUGAUGCUCAACAAAGAUUUUAAAAAAUAAGAAAGAGGUUAAAGGGAUUGAGGAAGGAGUCAGGGUUCCACUGUCCCCUCCAGUGACCUAAGUACCUCCCCUAGGACCAACCUCUUACAGAUGCUGCUCUGGGGACCAAACUUUUAACACAUGGGGGCAUUAAAGAUCCAAACUACAGUAUGGGUUUUGAGAUGGAAAGAUUAUCCUGGUGUAAAAACAGGAGGCUUGAUGAAGGGACAGGAUGUGAGUUGUGGUAGAGAAUUGCCUAGUAUGCACAUAGCUCUGGGUUCCAACCUCAAUACCACCAAAACUAACCAAGAAACCAACCAACCAACUAACAAACAACUUCUACCACAGGAGGCAGGGGAACAUGAGGAGAUGUGACCAUUGGAAGCAGAAAUCAGGACUGAGGAAUGAUGGAAGUAUCUGAAAGCUGGAAGUUAGGGAACAGAUUAUAUUCUAGACCUUCAAUGAAAAAUACUGCUCUACUGACAAUUUUAGACUUCUGACCACCAGAAUAAUUCGCAUUUAACCAUUGAUUUGUAUUAAUUUGCUACGGUAGCAAGAAGCAGUAUACACAAUUAUGGUAAAAUGUGCUUGAUUAUUGACCUAAUGAAUCACAAUUUUCCAACCCAUUUUUGUUUCCCCAGAGCAAACUUUCUGAAAUAGCAACUGAAUCAAGGCAGCUGGGUCUUCACGGACCCAGCUUAUGAGUGCUUGUAAGUUCAGUUUAUGAAUGCAGAGUAGGACCAGUUUCCAUGACUUGGCCAUCAAGGUGGUCCUGGAUUGUGUCUCCCAACACCACCAUUGCUUUCCUGUCCAUGGAGAAGUCUUAUCACUGAACAGCAUCACAGAGCGCUGUGCUCUGCUCUGCAACAGAAUGAAAAUUCAUUGUUUUCUCAAUUAUCAUUACUUGGGAAACAAACUUCAAGAUGAACAUGAGCAAAGAGCACAGAAACCAAACAUUCCAAGCUAAAGAGUGGAGGAUAGAGCCGGGCAUUGGUGGCGUGUGCCUUUAAUCCCAGCACUUGGGAGGCAGAGGCAGAGGCAGGCGGAUCUCUGUGAGUUCAAGGCCAGCCUGGUCUACAAAGCGAGUUCCAGGAAAGGUGCAAAGCUACACAGAAAAACCCUGUCUCGAAAAAACAAAACAAAACAAAAAAAAAAGAGUGGAGGAUGGAAGAAUUUGAAAUCUUCAGUUUUGGGAAAUCUAGAAUCUGUUGCCAUAAAUAUAGCUCAGCAAGUGAUAACUUAUAAUUGCCAAAGUUGAUGGGUAAUUACAUAAUCGAGGCAGAGGGCAGAGCUUGCAUUUGCCUCCUUGAUUAAUUAUCACACCAACCAACUUCUUGUUUGAAUACCAGCAGUUUCUACUGUGUUUCUUAAAGUCAGCUGGAGUUCCAACAGAUGUGAGCCCAGCAGCAGCUGCAAUGGAUGGUGGUGGAGAGGGUCUUGUAAACACACACAAACAGUGACUAACCUCUCAACUGUAGAAAGCUCAAAGCUUCCUCACAUUCAGAUUUUACUGGAGGUAAAAAGAAAUUAUGGAACGACUCUUCACCGAACGCCUUUAACCCUAAGGGCAGAUAGGCUAGGUUAGGCUACACAAGCUAUGGAUUCUGAUGAUCCAGUUCACAGUGUUCAAUUAAACUUAAUCAGACACAUAUGGGCUGCUGUAGACUAUUGUUAAUAAGCUGCAUGGUGAUUAUGGAAAUGGCUAUUAGUUCAGUUGAAUGACUAUAAUUGGUAUUAUUUGCACAAUGAGCCAUUUUAAAACAGUUGCUUUCUGCUUUUCAUUUUUGGAGUCCUCCUGAGUCUGUAAUCAGAAUGAAAAUCACUGUUUUCUCUGCUUUUUUUUUUUUUUUUUUAAAAAUCUGAGUUAUCAGACUGUGGUGGUAUUGUGUUCCCCGAAAUAUUGUGCACCCUAAUAAACUUAUCUGGGGUCAGAAACAGAACAGCCACAAUAUUAAACAUAGAGGAUAGGCAGUGGUAGCACACGCCUUUAAUCCCAGCACUUGGGAGGCAGAGCUAGGCAGAAAUCCAUGUGUUCAAGGAUACAGCCAAGCAUGGUGACUCACGCCUUUAAUCCCAGGGAGUGAGGCAGAAAGCAGAAAGAUAUAUAAGGCGUGAGGACCAGAAACUAGAAGCAUUUGGCUGGUUAAGCAUUCAGGCUUUCAAGUAGCAGUUCAGCGGAGACCCAUUCUGGAUGAGGACUCAGAGGCCUUCAGUCUGAAGAAACAAGACCAGCUGAGGAUCCAGCGAGGUGAGGUAGCUGUGACUUGUUCUGGUUCUCUGAUCUUCCAGUUCACCCCAAUACCUGGCUCAGGUUUGAUUUUAUUAAUAAGAACUUUUAAGAUUCCUGCUAUAUCAGACAGCCCCCCUUUGGAAGAGUGAUGGUGUAGAGGUCCCCAACAUGUACUCUGUGCCCUCACUCAAGGGCCAAGAUUACCCCCAGGAUUGGCCUUUGUAAUUCUGUUCUCUUCCUGGGGUACAGCCUGUGCACUGCACUGGGCAGUGAACUUUUUUUGCCUACAGGCUUCGAAGAGUCCAUUAUGAGUACAGGUGGAUAGCAGUGUCCGGGGAAGCUAAGCCUUAAGAACAGUAUGUUUUUUUGUGUGUCUGCUUUCUUCCAACUAUCAUAAAUAAUGUUUUUGAUAUUAGUUUAUUUUUUUACAUUUGCUUAUUUUCCCCCUUCUCUCUCUCUCUCUGUGUAUGCACACACGUGCCAGUGGGAGAGAGUGGAGGUCAGAGAAAAAUGGUAGCAGCCGAUUCUCUCCUUUCAUCAUGUGGGUUUGAACUCAGGUCAUCGGGCGUGGCAGCAAGCUUCUUUACUCACUGAGUCAAUUCACUGGACUGAGGUCGAUUCAUAUUCUGUCAUGGACCAUUUUUUUAACGUUGAGAGGUAUCCCAUUAUAAGAAUAUACCAUUAUAUAUAUAUAUAUUAUAUAUAUAUAUAUAUAUAUAUAUAUAAUAGGUUUUUAUGUUCUUUUGUAAAUGAACAAUUUAGUUAUUUACAGUUUGACCCAUUAUGUACAAAACAUGAAUGAAUAUUUCUGGAGGAAUCUUAUAGUGAACACACUUAUUUGCUUCUUUUGAGUAGGAAUAGAAUUCCUGAGUCCUAGGACAACUCUUGUCUAACUUUAUUACAAACAUCCAGAUGGAUUUAUAUCAUCUUAGAAUCGCCCAUCUCCUUGCAAAGAUUUCAUCUCACAUGCUUCAUAAAGGCAUGCAUGUUGGAAGUUUAACCUCUGAGUGGUGCUACUGGAGGUGAAGGCCUCUCUAAGAGGUGGGUGUGGUGGUAUUGUGUUCCCCAAAAUAUUGUGUACCUUAAUAAACUUAUCUGGGGUCAGAGAACAGAAAAGCCACAAGAUACUUAGGCUAGAAAAUGUUAGCACAUGCCUUUAAUCCUAGCAUUCCAGAGACAGAAAUCCCUCUGGAUCUCUGUGAGUUCAAGGCUGCAUUGGAAACAGCCAGGCAUGGUGACUCAUGCCUUUAAUCCCAGAAAGCAGCCUUUAAUCCCAGGGAGUGGUGGUAGAAAGCAGAAAGGUUUAUAAGGCGUGAGGACCAGAAACUGGAGGCAUUUGGCUGGUUAAGCAUUUGGCUGGAUAAGCAUUCAGGCUUCUAGCAGCAGUUCAGCUGAGAGCUAUUGGGAUGAAGACACAGAAGCUUCCAGUCUGAGGAAACAGGACCAGCUGAGGAACUGGCAAGGUUUGAUUUUAUUAAUAAGAACUUUUAAGAUUCCUGCUACAGGUGGGGUUUUGUGGAGGUCUUCAGGUCAUAGGAAUGUAUUCUUUGGUAUAUUUUGGGGACUUGGUCUCCUCUCUUUUUUGCUCCAUGUCCAUAAUAAGAGUUAUGCCAUGAGCUACCAUGGUGAUGUGCUGCCUUGCUAUGGGCCCAACGACACAGAGCCAACACAACAUGGACUGGAUGCUCUAAAACUGAGUCAAAAUAAACCCUCUCUCAUUAUAAGUUGAUUCUCUCGGGUGUUUGUUGUAGUAAUGAAAACAGAUACCUGACUCUCCAAAAUCUGUUGGAUGUGCAGCAAAACUAAAGACCAACUUAGAUAGAAUAAAAUCUCAAUACUCCUGGGGUUUACAUUCCACAAAACAACAUGUGUGUCUCCAUUUGUUAUGUCUUGUUUACGUCAGCACUGUUUUUCUUUGAGAGUUUUUGCAUAGUUUUAAAAUUAAAUUUAUUCAAAAGCAUUUUAUGUUAUUUGAUACUGUUAUACAUGGUAGCUUUCUAAAAUUUAAUUUCCAAUUGUUUGUUUCUGGUAUAGAGGAAUACAAUUGAUUUUUGUGAGCUGACCUUGUAUCCAACAAUCACAUUAAACUGAAUCAGUUCUAGAAGUUUGUCGAAUCCUUUGGGUAUCUAAGCACAAAAGUACUGUAUCCGUGAAUAGCAGUUUUAACUUUUCUUUCCAAUUGUUAUAAUUAUCUAUCUAUAUAUCUAUCUAAUUGAUCAACUAUCUUGAUGUGGUCCAAUAUUGGACAGACAUGGUAAAAGUGGACACUAUUUAAUUGUCUUUUUAUUCCCAUCUUAGAAAGACACACACAACACACACACACACACACACACACACACACACACACACAUAUAUAAUAGUCUGACAUUAAGAAUGAUAGCAACUGAAGUUUUUUUUUGAUAGACAUAUUUUAUCCAACUGAGAAAAUACCUUCUUCUUACAGGCUUGUUCAUGGCUUUAUGUGUGGUCUAGCAUUGCCUUUUCUCAAAUGCCUUUUCUUUAUGUUCUAAGUUCAUUAUAUGUUCUGAUCUUUUAUUUUGUUAAUGUGGUAAAUUGCAAUGUCUUAGUUUGUCUGCGUAGUUAUAGCAGAUUGUCAUCGGUAAGUAGUUACAAAGAAUAAUUUAUUCUCACUGUUCUGAAAGGUGGAGUGUUCAAGAUCAAGAUGCCAGUCUUGUUGGUGAAUACUUAUGUGGUGGAAGGUGGAAGGACAAGGGAGAGAGAGUCCAUUCCUACAAGUCCACUUCACAGUAGCAUUCUUCACUUAUGAAGGUGGAGCCUUCAUGACCUGGGUGACUCUCCUGGCAUACCACAAUCGGUUGCACUGGGGAUUAAUUUAUAACAUAUAAAUUGUGGAGGAGAUCCAUUCAAAUGGUAUUGCACAUAAUUUGCCUUUUGAAUGUUAAACUGAUUUGCAUUCCUAGAAUAAAUCUCUUUGUAUUGAGAGAUUAUCCUUUUGAAAUAUUGCUGAAUUGAUUUUUAAAUAUUUUAUUAAAGAUUUUUUUCUCUUUCUGUUUAUGAGGAAUAUUAAUCUGUAGCUUCUUAUGAUGUCUUUUUCUCAAUGUUUGUACUGGUUUUUGUAAAUGAGUCUGGGAAAUGUUUUCUCUUCAUACACUGAAUGGGUUUGAAUAUUGUUACAAUUAUUUCUUCCUUGAAAUUUUACUAGAAUUCAUCAGUGAAUCCUGGUAGGGUUUUCUUUAAAUCAACAUUCAAUUUCUUUAACAGAGUUAUAUUCUCAAGGGCUUCUGUUUCUUCUUGUGAAACUUUCUCCAGAGUUCUGUUUUUAAAGGGUUUUGUCCAAUUCCAGGGAAUUUCUCAAGUGUUCUGACAGCAGGAUUUUCACAUUGUUCGCUUAACUUUGCGUUAGCAUCACAGGACCCACAUGUCAGUCAUGAUCAUUUUUCUUUUUCUUUCUGAGCUUUAUUGGCUUUACUAAUCUUAAACAAAAACAACCUUGGCUUUGUUAAUUUCUCUACCUUCUGCCUUUGCCUUUAUUCCACGAGACUCUUCUUAUCCACACCUGCUGUUUCCCUUAGUGUCCAUGGGUCACUUUGCUGUUAGGAUUCUAGCUUCUUUGGGAGAAAUCUUAGCUAAUUGACUUUGGCUAUUUUAUUUGAAGCAGUUAUGUGUCACUCAGCUAUGGAGACACAUUGUUGAGAGAUGCAUUGUGAUGUUUGCUGUUGUGUGAGCACCAUAGUGAGCCCAUACACAGACCAGAAUGGUAUAAUAUCAUAAGUGGUGUAAUCUUGUGGGGACACUAUUAUAAAUGUGCUUUGUGCUGUUGACUGAAACAUCAUUAUGUAAUACUGAAUAUAUACUAUAUAAUUUUCUUUUCUCCCUUCCUCCCUCCCUCCCUCCUUCCCUUCCUUCCUUCCUUCCUUUCUUUCUCUCUUUGCUUACUUUCUUCUUCAGGUUCUCUCACUGAACAUGGAGCUCACCAAUUGGCUAGACUGAUGGGCCAGGUUCUAAGGAUUGCCUCUUCCUGCCUCCCCAGUACUGGGAUUACAGGCAUGUAGGUGUUAUGGCUCUGGACUCAGGCCUGAGUGUUGACGUGGCCAGCUCUUUACUAAUUGACUGAGCCAUCUUCUCUGCUGUGUAGAACUUUCCUCACAUGCUGCUUUCCUUGUAUUCCACAGACUUUGAAGUAUUACAUUUUACUAUCACUGGAUUUAAAACGGUCUCUGUUUUGCAUUAUGAUUUCUUCUUGGAUCCAUGGCUUACCAACAAGUGUUCUAAGUGGUUUUCAGUUAUUCGUGGGAUUUUCUAGUUACCUCAUUGAUUUGGGGUCUUAUUUUCCUGUAACCCACUCCAUGGGCACAAUUCAGACUCUUUCAAGUAAAGAACCAUUUCUCUUGCAAUAUGCUUCAUAGCCAUUUAGUAUGCACAAAAGGAUGCCACUGUUUUCACUGCCUUUAAAAGAAGUCACUGAUGAGUGUUUUAUCUGUUAGAUUCAAUAAUAUUAUUCACAUAAACCAUAUCAGAUUUAUAGGGCAUUGUACUGGCUAGUUUUGUGUGUCAACUUGAUACAAGCUAGAUUCAUCAGGAAGGAAGGCACCUCAGUUGAGGUAAUGCCUCCAUGAGAUCCAACUGUAAGGCAUUUUCUCAAUUAGUGAUCAAUGGGGGAGGGCCCAGCUCAUUGUGGGUGGUGCCAUCCUGGGCUGGUGGUCCUGUGCUCUGUAAGAAAACAGAGUAACAGGAAUUCUAAUUGGUCUUAAUAAAAACCUGGAGUCAGAUAUCGGGGUAAAUGCUGAAAGAUCAGAGAAGUAAAGGAGCCAGCCACUAGAGAGACUUCUUACCUCUACCGAACCCUCAGACCAAAAGGGGCGAGCUCCUGUCUCCUCCCACCUUAUAUUCCUCUCUCUGCCCAGACAUAUCACUUCCUGUCUCCACUUCCCUAGUGCUGGGAUUAAAGGUGUGUGCCUCCCAAGUACUGGGAUUAAAGGCAUGAGAUCCCAAGUGUUGGGAUCAAAGAUAUGUGUUACCACUGCCUGGCCUCUAUGGUUAAUUAGUGGCUAGUUCCACACUCUUAUCUCUAGGCUAGUUUUAUUUGUUAGAGCACAAACAAAAUACCACCACAAAGCAGGCUGAGCAAGCCAUGGGAAGUUAGCCAGUAAUCAGGCCCCUUCCAUGACCUCUUCAUCAGCUCCUUCUUCCAGAAUUCUGCCUUGUUUGAGUUCCUGUCCUGAUGUCCCUCAGUGGUGAACAGCAAUGUAGAAGUGUAAGCUGAAUAUCCCCUUUCCUCCCCAACUUGCUUUAUGAUCAUGGUGUUUCAUUGCAACAAUAGAAACUCUAAGACAGGUGUGUUUUAUAGGGUGUGUUUAGGAUCUGGACUGUGUCCCCAAAAGCAUGUCCUGGAGCCUUGAUUGUCAGCUCGUGAUCCUCUUGUUAGGUGGUGAGACAUUAGGAGGUACAGAGCCUCUCUGGAGAAACUGAAUCACUAAGGGUGUUCUUAAGGGGAUAAUCAGAUCCCUAGAUGCUUCCUCACUUUCCUCUUUCUUUCUCUCUUUUUGCUUCCUUACCAUGAUGAGGAGACAGUUUUUCUCUGCUCUGUGUUCCCUACUGUGAUGGUCUCCUUCCCCUCAGAGCAGCAGAAUGAGCUGGGCAUCAGCUGAAACCUCUGAAUCUGUGAGACAAAGUAAGAGACAUUAGUUCUCUUAGGCAUUGUUCAUAGCGACAGAAAGCUGACACACAAGAUAUGCAUCUAAGGACGGGGAGGUGGCAGAGUGGAUAAAGUGCUUGUUGUGAAGACCUGCGGGCCUGAUAAAAACCCAGGGAUGCUGGUGUACACCUGUCACCUUACACUGAAGCAGAGACAAGGGAUCCUGUGGCUCAUUGGCCAGCAAGUCUAGCCUCAAAUUCUGUGAAAGACAGUGUUUUGAAAACUAGAUGGAGAACAGUUGAGGAAGACAAUAUUGACCUCUGACUCCCACAUUUCCGUGUAUGUGUGUGUGAGAGAGAGAAAGAUAGAUAGAUAGAGAGAGAGAGAGAGAGAGAGAGAGAGAGAGAGAGAGAGAGAGGAGAGAGAUCUUCAUAUCAAUGUAACAUUAGGAAAUAUAGAAAAUAAAUUUAAAUGGGAAAGCUAAGAUUGCUAAUAAUUCCUUCAUUCACAGCUUUUUCUUGAAGACUAAUUUAUUGAUGGUUUGAUACCAUGGUAUCUCAUGUGUGGUGUGCUAUUUUGCUUGAUUUUUAAGAUUUAUUUUAUUUUUAUUUUCUGUGUAAGGGUGUUUCUGCUGUGUGAAUUUAAGGGUACUGUGUAUGUAGUACCCAAGGAGGCCAGAAGAAGGCAUCAUCAGAUUCCCUGAGACUGGAGCUACUGGACAGUUAUUAGCUGGCAUGUGAUUGCUGGGAACUGAACCUGGGUCCUCUAGAAAAACAAGUGCUCUUAAUCACCGAGCCAUCUCUCCAGCUCCCAUUAGUGGUUUUAAAGCAUAGGCCUGUAUCAAGGUCUGUGUAGAGGGUCUGUACUGGUGUCUCUCAAACAGUGGUCUAUAUCAGAAACUCCUUGAACUUUUUGAAAUACGGAUUCUAUAUCCUGCUGCUUAAAUUGUUUGCCCUUUACUUUAAAUAAAAUUCAUGUUCCCCUAUUCUUUUAUAUUGAUCUGUACUGUUUUAUUUACAUGAGUUUCUUGAGAUAGAAUAUCUGUGGGUUUUUUGCUAUUAUUUCCUGGAAGCUUCCUAUGUGCAGUCUCUGGUGGCACUGGAUGCCACACCCUCGACGGUGUCGCCUGUGUGACAAAUGCCGAUCUGGUGGUCUCACGAGAAAGGGGGGCACGUGUCUCUCGAGGGCUAGGCCCCCCGGCAGUCCCCUGGCAAUCAGCCCGAGCAAUGGUUCCUGGAUACAUUGUUCCCUAAAGACCAGCCUUCCAUGGAUGGUUGGCAGGACUCCUGCUUCUUUCUUCUUUCCUGACAAUAACAACCUCCCUGUGCCUGUCGCUUGACGUACCUGAUAACUCCACAACUGUUACACCAGCACCGCCCCCAGUGAUUCAAGCCCUUGGGCAGAUAGCACAAAAAACCCCUACUUCAGUGGGGGCACUCAUGGAUGGAUUAGAACAGAAAGAGCUAAUGAUUCAGGUUCUCACAGAUUCUAAGGAAGAAAAUGUAAAAGUAAAAAGAUUGUUAGGUAACCCUCACUCAGCUCAUGCAAACUCACAAGAAAGAGAACUUAGGAAACUGGCAACUCCCACAAGAAUGGUUGGAAGGUACAUUCAAUACCGUAUUAAUGGGAAAUGGUGGACACCCCCUCGUUGGAAUCCCAGAAGUAGAAAUUACUUAGGUCCACCCCCUUUUACAGAGGCUUAUGACUAUGAAGGGAAUCGGUUGGGUAAAUCAUGGGGGGAAAAGAAUGUUGUGGAAUCAGUUGCCUUUUAUGGAAAGACUGGUUAGAAGCAGAAAGGUAUGGUGUACAUAUGAUAGGCAGACAAGGUCAGCUAUAUUGAGGGGUAUAGCACCUGUGCUAAAGAGGUGGGCUAAGGCUCUUGGCGAGGACUUUGUAACUGUCUUUAAUAAAUUACUAGAAAUGGAUUACCAGUUAUUGAGUGCAUAAUCUGGCUCUUAGGGUUCAGGCCACAGCAUGUCUCUGUCUGAAAGGAUUAAUCAUUUUGAAAACCACAUUGUGUGACCACAAAAGAUUGCGUCUAUUGCUUUUCUUUUGCCCCUGGGCUUAGGUCCUUGUUAAGAUUGUAUAAAAUCUCAGCCUGAUGUUCAGUAAAAUUGCAGCAGUUUCACAGCA
Peromyscus californicus insignis is the source of this 10160-nucleotide long non-coding RNA. RefSeq lists it as uncharacterized. The record is from RefSeq and is a predicted model, not a curated record. The transcript is spliced from 2 exons. Lineage: Eukaryota; Metazoa; Chordata; Mammalia; Rodentia; Cricetidae.